This 357-nucleotide unclassified non-coding RNA is filed under the name Melitaea cinxia (Glanville fritillary). RNAcentral describes it as "misc RNA ENSMCXG00005000231.1". Lineage: Eukaryota; Metazoa; Arthropoda; Insecta; Lepidoptera; Nymphalidae. The record is from RNAcentral.
GUAUUAAUUUUAAACGUGGAGUGUUUGUGUAACAACGGUUAACAAACGUGUCUUUUUAGUGCCCUUUUUUCUAUUAAAUAGUUUUAGAAAACGAUAUCUUGCCAGUACAAAAGUUUCAUAAUCUAAUGCCUUUCGCCUCUAUAUAGUUGAUAGUAAGCUUCGUGUAAAGAGUUAGGCGCGCUAGUUAGAUUCGUAGAAGACAUAAGUUUAUAUUUCAAACGAAGUUUUGUAAAAAAAAUAUCGAUGUCUUUGAUUUGUGGAGAGCCGGGCGGCCCUCUCUUAUCAGAGCCGCUAUUGAGUUUAUACAAAUCACCCAUGUCAGGGUGUGCAUUCCUGACAUAUUUCAAUCCAGAAAGU